RNAcentral lists this long non-coding RNA (256 nucleotides) under Homo sapiens (human). RNAcentral describes it as "HSALNT0196111". The record is from RNAcentral. Lineage: Eukaryota; Metazoa; Chordata; Mammalia; Primates; Hominidae.
AGGACGGCCCAGCUCCACGCUGUGGUCACCAUGGAGGAGGACGGCCCAGCCCUGCGCUGUGGUCACCAUGGAGGAGGACGGCCUAGCCCCGUGCUGUGGUCACCAUGGAGGAGGACGGCCUAGCUCCACGUUGUGGUCACCAUAGAGGAGGACGGCCCAGCCCCGUGCUGUGGUCACCAUGGAGGAGGACGGCCUAGCCCCGUGCUGUGGUCACCAUGGAGGAGGACGGCCCAGCCCCGCGCUGUGGUCACCAUGG